Phymastichus coffea is the source of this 1133-nucleotide long non-coding RNA. RefSeq lists it as uncharacterized. The transcript is spliced from 4 exons. The record is from RefSeq and is a predicted model, not a curated record. Lineage: Eukaryota; Metazoa; Arthropoda; Insecta; Hymenoptera; Eulophidae.
ACUAUCUGCGCAGCACAGCACGACAGGUCCCGUGUCGGCGUAUAGCGUACACACGCGCGCAAUUAUAUCUACAGGAUGUACGCAGAGGCGAUUGCUCUAGUGCGCGUCGCGCGAGACGAGUCCACACCGUCGCAUUCAGAGUGACGGUAAACGAAUUUCAGUUGCCCUGUUUUCGAGCUGUUUUACGUAGCGCGCGAGCCUUCUCGUGUAACAACCACGAUUUGCGAAAGAAAUCACAUUUUGCGGCCGUCACCGGUACAUUCAAGCCCAUUUCUUUCAACAGAAGAACGCUCCAAAGUUUGCGUUCACCUGCAUCAUAGUCACCGCAUUCACGCCAUUCAACUCUGACAAGCUGAGCAUGCGAAGAGCCUCGCUACGUUAUACAUGCCAUACUCUGCUUUUCGAAAUUGCACUACAAGCCUAGCCCCGCCGAAAACUUGAUCGGAUUUGCAGUCGACACGGCCAAGUUUUUAAAGAAAGGCAAAUCCAGCAUACCCAGCUUGGCUGGUAUCAAGUUUAUCGAGCGGGUGUGCAUUAGCAAAAUUUGAUCGCCGAAAUGGUUCUGUAUUGUUUUGCCAAGCAUGAUCGUUGGAAUCGACACUUUCAUGCCAUCGGCUGUCAGCAUCGCGUUAGAUUUGGUGAAGGAACUGUACACCGUAGCGAUCAAAGACGACUAUCGCGCUACCCAGGUGCAUCAAACGAAACUGGCCACCAUCGUGAACAAUUUGGCCACACCAACAAUUUGGACGAAGGUUUGAGAGCUGCGAUGAAAGCUGUGACACGACGACUUUUACCGUCUUAUAUACAUCAACUUGGGACCGACCAGAAGACCACUAAAAAACUUCGAUACCUUGCUUAAUCAAUCGAAACUUGCUAGAUUUAUCACAUCGGAGCAAUUGGAGAUGUAGCUCUCUGUCGAUUUUCAUUUGAGAAAACAAUUUGAAUGAUGUCCUUUUUUUGUUUGUCACCCCGUUUGCAGGAAGGAGGGACGGGCUGUACUCGACCAGAAUUUUUCUUGCAUAUAUAUCUCUAGAACGGUUCAAUCGAUGCGUUAAUGGGUCUGCACUUACUUGAAACGGUCCUGUCUUAUUAUUGACUGGACUGGAGCAUAAAUGUGCGAGUUAAUGCAAAAA